This is a long non-coding RNA of Bactrocera neohumeralis, 2441 nucleotides long. RefSeq lists it as uncharacterized. The transcript has 2 exons. Lineage: Eukaryota; Metazoa; Arthropoda; Insecta; Diptera; Tephritidae. The record is from RefSeq and is a predicted model, not a curated record.
CUUCGAACGGAUGUUCUUAGGCUACCCAGAGGAUACUUGGUCAAAGACCGGAAAUAGUGAGCUGCUUGAGCCAUGUGUAAAAGAGUCGUUUCUGGCCACUCCCAAGUGAAUGGCUUUCAGAGAACUUUCCUCACUUGCGUGAACUUCUACACAUGACCCCAUCCGCCAACAGUAAUUUCUAGGUAUUUCAAAAAACAAAUCGUGAGAUGCAGCAAGAUAUAAUAUGUGUACAUAGGCUGUUAAGAGUGAUGAGGGAGAGAUUUGAUUUUCAUUUAAGCGGAGUACUACCUAACCGGGAUGGACUGUACACAUAAAUCAGAGGAAUAUUGAAUAUUUUUUUUGAAAUAUUUCUUGACUUGAAAAUCGACAAAUAAACUAUGUUGUCAACUUUAUUCUAUAUAUGUAUAUAUUUGCGGGGUUGUCACUUUUUUCCAUAAAAUUUGUAACGUAGCUUUGACCACCUCACAAUAAUUUACGUCAACUUCGCUCCACAGUACAUCAUGUACCCUCACCAUACCACCAUACGUACUAAACUUCACCGCAUUGACUACGCACCCAACUCACCUCACUACGAUGAUGAAAGCUGCUAGAGCUUUUCACCAUACGUACUAACGCACCAUACGCAUACAACUUACCUCGCUACGGUGACGAAAGCUGCGCUAUGCUGCUAUAAAAGCAAGCACUUUACACCAAAUGCGUUCAUUUGCUCCAGCUCGCCGAACCGGACGGUCGCCCAGCAUCGCGUAGGAAAGCAGCAGUAAGCAGGGGUAAGUGCAAGUAGAAGAAGAUACUUCGCAGGCAUUGACCCUGCCGUAGAAGUGUAGUGCAUACCGUAGAGGGUUCUUCGCAGGCAUUGCGCAGAAAAGGCAUCACACUUCGGUGUGAUGCCAGUGCUCGCAAUGACUGCCAUAGAAUGGGGUACUUCGCAGGCAGUGCGCAGAAAAGGCAUCACACUUCGGUGUGAUGCCAGUGCUCGCAAUGACUGCCAUAGAAUGGGAUACUUCGCAGGCAUUGCGCAGAAAAGGCAUCACGCUUUGGUGAUGCCAGUGCUCGCAAUGACUGCCGUAUACCAUAGAAUGAGGCACUUCGCAGGCGUUGCGUAGAAAAGGCAUCACGCUUUGGUGAUGCCAGUGCUCGCAAUGACUCUGCCGUUUUGUUAGGCAGGUAUCGGUACGCGCAAAGGCUCGACCGUUACUAUGAGGGGCACAGCCGCGCUGCUUCGAACAGCGUCAGUACCACUGCUUACGUACCGUAGGGCACCGUUAUGAAAAACUAACGUGACUAACAGGCGACACGUAAGUGGCGGACAGUUGAGAGUUGAUAGCUGGAGGCCAACGAAGACGGUUGGCGAAUAAUAAGAUCUCUCCUACACAGAGGAGCCCGUCGUAUACAUCGCCGUGCCAGUCGCAACAAGCGUCAACGCCUGGCUCAUAGACUCCGUUUAUUUCCAUCGCCGUGCCAGUUUCAACAAGCGUCAACACCUGGCUCAUAGAUUCCGUUUAUUUCCGUCGCCGUGCCAGUUUCAACAAGCGUCACCGCCUGACUCAUCAAUCCCGUUUAUUUCCAUCGCCGUGCCAGUUUCAACAAGCGUCACCGCCUGACUCAUCAAUCCCGUUUAUUUCCAUCGGGGUGCCAGUUUCAACAAGCGUCAACGCCUGGCUCAUAAAUUCCGUUUAUUUCCGUCGCCGUGCCAGUUUCCACAAGCGUCACCGCCUGACUCAUCAAUCCCGUUUAUUUCCAUCGCCGUGCCAGUUUCAACAAGCGUCACCGCCUGACUCAUCAAUCCCGUUUAUUUCCAUCGCCGUGCCAGUUUCAACAAGCGUCACCGCCUGACUCAUCCAUCCCGUUUAUUUCCAUCGCCGUGCCAGUUUCAACAAGCGUCAACACCUGGCUCAUAAAUUCCGUUUAUUUCCGUCAUCGUGCGAGUUUCAACAAGCGUCAACGCCUGACUCAUCAAUCCCGUUUAUUUCCAUCGCCGUGCCAGUUUCAACAAGCGUCAACACCUGGCUCAUAAAUUCCGUUUAUUUCCGUCAUCGUGCCAGUUUCAACAAGCGUCAACACCUGGCUCAUAGAUUCCGUUUAUUUCCGUCGCCGUGUCAGUUUCAACAAGCGUCACCGCCUGACUCAUCAAUACCGUUUUUUUUCAUCGCCGUGCCAGUUUCAACAAGCGUCACCGCCUGACUCAUCCAUCCCGUUUAUUUCCAUCGCCGUGCCAGUUUCAACAAGCGUCACCGCCUGACUCAUCCAUCCUGUUUAUUACCAUCGCCGUGCCAGUUUCAACAAGCGUCAACACCUGGCUCAUAAAUUCCGUUUAUUUCCGUCAUCGUGCGAGGUUCAACAAGCGUCACCGCCUGACUCAUCAAUCCCGUUUAUUUCCAUCGCGCUGGUCUGGCUGUCCGCAUAAGGAGUGGGGGUGUGGAUAUAACUUUACGAGGAUAAAA